RNAcentral lists this long non-coding RNA (1410 nucleotides) under Homo sapiens (human). Its description in RNAcentral is "HSALNT0353209". Lineage: Eukaryota; Metazoa; Chordata; Mammalia; Primates; Hominidae. The record is from RNAcentral.
GGGAGAUUGAGUAAUUGGUGUCUGGAUGUGCGUGUGCUGCUUCCCAAAAUACCUCUUUAAAAAGACGUGAGAGGGAUGCGGAGCCAGUAGAAAUGACUGAUUUUGAAGAUUGAGAAUUAGGAAUAUUGUACAGAUGCUGUCAUUCCUACAUGAAGGAGGCAGAAGAAUGUAGCAAGCUCAGCUCUCUAAUGCCAGGAGUGGCACUUUCAGUGACCAGAGCUCCCUGGGUCCUCUGUGUAUCCCUCCCCUGUCAACUGAUUCAACAGAGGCUGGGCUGGUCCUGGCAUUAGCACAUUUUUGAAUCUGCCUUUGGCUGUGACUUCACCCAAAGACAGAAAGGGGAAGUUUCUGGUCUACAUAGCCAACAUGUGGUCUUGAUAAUAAAUCAUUGCUUGUUUGGAAGAAUUUGGUCUGAGCCUUACUUUUAUUGUAAAACACUACCUGUAGAUGGCAGAUGGGGCAUGGGACCUUUAGGCCUUAUCCAGCUCUAAACAUGGGAGGCUACCAAAGACUCUGACGUUUGGCAAAUGGCCAAAUUUGCAGAGAUCUUAUUGCAAGAGAGGCGUUCCUAAAUCUGAGUUCUAACAUCACCCCUUUUCUAGCUCCAGAGCCCCAUUGCUAGGCAGCUCCCUUCACCUGGAGACUCAUCCUCCCCUAGACUAAUGAGUGAAAGUGGGUGGGAUUAGUAUUAAGUUGUGCAAAAAGCAAUUGUGGUUUUUGCCAAAGUUGUGUCAAAGACUGGAAUUGCUUUUGCACCAACCUAAGCACUGGGCCAUAGGAAGGCACCAAAAAUACCUAGCUGGUGGCUCUGGCGUGACUUUUUGCUUAAGCUUAGUGGCUAAAUUCUCAUCCUGUCCCUAAUGACGAAAGUCCUUCCUCACAUCCCAGGUUCAAUUUGCUAGAGACUGUCUAGUCUCCUUGAACUUUGAAUCUUGGCUUUAGCUCCUGCUGAUAACCUCAUUCCUACAGGACUGGGCCACGGAACUGCUUUAUACCAGUCUCUCGGUGGCCUGGAGCCCAGACCCUGAACCUAAGUCAUAUGGCCAGCCCAGACCCUAACUUCAAGGCUUCCUUAUGCCAGUCAGGUACCUGCCUUUCUGCCUAUUGCCUGGAGCUGAGCCCCCUGCGUUCUUCAAUUUCAUAGAGUUGACUAAGGAUUAAAUGAGUUAAUGUAUGAAACUCCUUGGCAAAUACUAAGCAUUAUCUUUACUGGUUAAUUUCUUUUGACAGUUUUUGACAGCUUCCUUAACUCUUAGUGACUCAGUUUUCUCAUCUGUAAACUGGGAAUAAUAAUAGUACCUGCCUCCUGGGAUAGGUGUAAGGGUUGGAUGAGUUAAGAAUCUGUAGUGAGAUGAGUAAUGUCCCCUCCAAAAAAAGAUAUACCCACCUCCUAAUCUCCAGAACCUGUGA